AGUUUAACCUCAUCCUCUGACAGUUGUUGCAGCCUCAUGGUUGCACAAACCUCUUCAAACUCUCUAAUGAAUAUGUAUGCAUCCUCUAUUCUCGUGAAUUUUGGAAGCAUAUUAAUGAUUUGAGGUUUAAUUUCAAAGUUGUUUGCAGUGGGUUGGGGCAACCUGAUGCAAGAAGGUUGGACGGAACCGACUGGAUAACAUAAAUCCUUAAGGGUUUGGGGUUGAUUGGGUUCUCCCAUUGU
Molecule: long non-coding RNA, 242 nt
Filed under: Elaeis guineensis (African oil palm)
Lineage: Eukaryota; Viridiplantae; Streptophyta; Magnoliopsida; Arecales; Arecaceae
Description: long non-coding RNA (EGUI_LNC078474)
Source: RNAcentral